AUAGUCACCGCGCUGCUGCGAAGCGGAGCCCGAAAUAGCGGCCUCCAGAUAAGGCAGCGACGACUCAGCGCUUCCGGGGAGCGGAAGGCACCCGGGAGGCGGCCCCGCGGUCACCGCGGCCAGCCCCAUCCGGAUCUGCACCCCCACCCCGCCGGCCCCCAACCCAUCCCGGCCCUGUCAGGUCCUGCAUCUGUCUGCCCAUCUGAUUUCCGCAUCUCUCUGUCCAUCCCACCCCGUGGGGACCGCGGAGUCCCGGUAGGCAGGUGGGCUGAGUAUUGAGAGGGUCUGAUAUUUGUGUGACUGUGGGUCUCCAGAGAUGGCUGGAGUUGGGAUUCGCCCUGUCCCUAAUUUCUGGCCCCUUAACUUGUUUUUGUGUAUUUGUUUGUUUUUGAGGCAGGGUCUCACAGUGUAACCUCGCAGUUUAAGGCUGGCCUUAAACUCACAGACAUAUAUGUCAGUUGCCAUCUACCUAGUGCUGGGAUUUAAGGCAGGGACCACGUCUGGUCCUUUUGUGUUAUUAAAAAAAUAUUUAUUGUUCAUUUAUUUUUAGACAGAGUCUCUGGCUGGCCUGGAAUUCACUAUGCUUCAACUCAGAGAUGUCUGACUCUGUGUCCUGAGUGCUGGGAUUAAAAGUGGGAUUGGGGAUUUAGCUCAGCGGUAGAGCGCUUGCCUAGCAAGUGCAAGGCCCUGGGUUUGGUCCCCAGCUCUGAAAAAAAGUGUGGCAUGCAUGACUGUUUAUUUAUUGCUCUUUUUUUUUUUUUUUGGUUCUUUUUUUUUUCGGAGCUGGGGACCGAACCCAGGGCCUUGCGCUUCCUAGGUAAGUGCUCUACCACUGAGCUAAAUCCCCAGCCCUAUUUAUUGCUUUUAAAUGUCUUAAAUAUAUGCUUUAUUUAUGUAUUUUUAUUUCCUAUGUACAUCCAUGGAGGUGAGAGGUGAAGGUACUAUCUUCAGUUCCUUUCCAUACUCUCUCUUGAGACAAGGGCUCUCAGUAAGCCUGGAGCUAGCUCAAUCCUUGGCCCCACUGGCCGACCACAGCCUCUGGAACUAACAUUGUGUGCAGCCACACCCAGCUCUGUACCUGGGUGCUGGGAUUGUCCUGAUCUCUGGUCUCCUACUGCACACAUUUUAGGGGCCUCUGGUCGUGUCGUCCUGGCUGGCUUGGUACUUACCAGCCUAAUUUCUAUUUUUUUAAAAAAGAUUUAUUUAUUCAUUUAUUAUAUAUAAGUACACUGUAGCUGUCUUCAGAUACACCAGAAGAGGGCAUUGGAUCUCUUUACAGAUGGUUGUGAGCCACCAUGUGGUUGCUGGGAAUUGAACUCAGGACCUCUGGAAGAGCAGUCGGGUGCUCUUAACCACUGAGUCAUCUCUCCAGCCCUAAUUUCUGUUUAUUAAACUAUGUAUUUAUGAUUGCUGUUCUUUGGUUUUUAGAGACAGAGCGUCUCUUUGUAGCCCAGGCUGACUUCGAACUCACAGAGAUCCGCCUGUCUCUGCCUCCUGAGGUGUGGGCCACCGCAGUCCCGGCCUGUCUGAAUGAGUGUAAGCGCAUCGCGUGCAUGUGGGAUCCUCUGGAGACCUGGAGAGGGCGCCAUAUUCCUAGAAUUGGAGUUACAAGGGGCUGUGAACCGCCUCGAGUGCUGGCAAUCUCCGUGAGAGCAGUUAACAUUGCCGAUGGCUGAGCCAUCUCUCCAGCCUUGCAUUUCUUUCUUUCUUUUGAAAGGCCAAGAUUUUAUUGUCUUCAUAACAAAAUCGCUUAGAACUGGAUCACUUGGCCCUUUCUCUUCUUGCCUCCCAAUUCAAAAUGCUCGAAUCUCUUACUAGCCAGUGUCCUCUGAGAUCUGCAGUUAGGCUCAACGCACUCCAGUCUCAGCACCACCUUCUUUGUAGUUUUACCCUUUUUACAGAAAAUGGGCUUAGUCUGCCCACCACAGCCACUGUUUCCUGUCAUAACGCCACUUUCCCUGGGCAGAUAGAGAAUCCUUGCCCUUCAUGUACUGUGUCAUCUUGAGGGGCGGCUUCCCACACUUCUUGCAGAAUGUCCGGUGGGUGUCAGGAACACUCACCGUGUUUGCAGGAGUGCUAUCAGCUCAGAAAGAAAGAGGAUCCAGCCUUCAUUUCUAUUUCAUUUACUUUCUCUUGAAUAGGUUGAGGCUCUCACUGUACAGCCUAGGCCAGCCUUAAACUCUCAAUCCUCCUGCCUCAGUCUCCUUGUCUCCUCUGUACUAUUACAAGUGUGUACUCACUCUCACACCAGGCCUUAUUUUCUCUCUCUCUCUCUCUCUCUCUCUCUCUCUCUCUCUCUCUCUCCCCCCCCCCGUGUGCGCGCACAGUUGAACAUGUAUGUACUAUAUAUGUAUAUGUUGAGGCCAGAGGUCAGCCUCCAGUGUCAUUCCUCAGGUCCUGCCCAUGCAUUUUAUUUAGAUUUUAUAUAUUUUUUUAUGUUUUGUGGAUGGGUGUUUGCCCUGCCUGUAUGGUGGUACCAGUGUGUGUGCGGUGCCCUCAGAGGUCAGAGAUGGCUGUGAGAGAGCUGCCCUGUGGACCUGGGAAUUGAACCAGGGUCCUCUGGAAGAGCAGCCAGUGCUGGAAACCAUCUCCACAGGGCCUUUUGUUUUGAGACAGGGUCUCCCAUUAGCCUGAAACCUGCUCAGGGAGCCAGCCGAGGAGCCCUGGGGGUUCUGCCUAUCUCUGGCCCCUCAGUGCUGUGCUUCAAGCACAGGGGCCAAGCCAGCGCUUUCUGUUUGUUUUUAGAGUGGAUUAACUCAGGUUCCGCCUUGUGUGAGGCAAGCACUUUAUCAACUGAAUCACCCCCCAGGUUCUUUUCUUAUUUACUAUUUCGACUGACGUCAUAAUCACACAUAUUCAUGAGGUACUAUAUCUUUAUUUUCAACUUCGCUUCUAUUGGACAAUGAUCAUAGGCUAAUUAGCAUAUCUACCACCUUUAACUUUUAUCUUUUUCUUACUAUGACAGGGUCUGACAUAGCCCAGGACAGCUUCAGACCGAUUUUGUAGACUAGGAUGACCUUGAACUUCCCUCCUGCUCCCACCUCUAGGGGCUGGGAUGGCAGGUUCGAACCCCCACACCCCAUGUGUCAUUGAUCAAUGCUAGCCUUUGUGGGCCUUAGUCAACGGGAUCUAUGCAGCAUGCAGCCCUCACAGUGUCUACACCACUGCUAUCACUGCUGUCUCCUGCUGGGCCCCUGUGCCAGUCGCCCGGGUGACACGGCUAAGCCCUGCUAGGAAGGGAAAACUUAAACAGAAGUGUUGGAUCACGCCAAUAAUCUCAGUCCUAAGGGAUCAGAUGCAGGAGUUCUAGACCAGUCUGAGGUCCAUAUUCCUAUGAGAAUUUAUCUCAAAGGAAAUGGGGGUGGGGACCCUCAGGCUGGGGCACAGGGGUGCCGCCUUUUAAGGAGAUGAAAGUUUUCCAAAAUUUCAAGUGGAUUCGAGGACAAUGGCAUGUACCUGUCACCCCAGAGACAGGAGGACUCAGAGGCAUGAAGACGGGCAGGCUGGGGGGAGACAGACAGAGACUGAAAGACAUAGAAAGGCAGAGAUACACAGAGAAACAGAGACAGACAGACAGAUGGAUACAGAGACUAAAAGAUACAGAAAGCCAGAGAUACACAGACAGAUGGACACACAGAGACCGACAGAGGCUCACAGACAGAGAGACACAAGGACACACAGAGAGACAGAGAGACAGAGAGACAGGGACAGAGACAGACAGACACAGAGAGAGACACAGAGACACAGAAAAAGACACACAGAGAGACAUACAGACAUGGAGAGAGAGAGAGAGAGAGAGAGAGAGAGAGAGAGGAAGGAGGAAGGGAGCAAAGUCUGUGGAAAUAGCCCAAUCAUUACAGUGCUUUCUGUAUAAGCAUGAAUCCCUGAAUAUUCAGUCCCCAGAUCACAUUUUAAAAUGCCAGACAUGUGUGCUGGAGAGAUGGCUCAGUGGUUAGGGGCAGUGGCCACUCUUGUAGAGGACACAGGUUCCAAUCCCAGCACCCAUAUGGUGGUUCCCAACCAUCCAUAACUCCAACUCCAGCAGGUCUGAUGGCCUCUUCCAACCUCUUCUGACCACACACGUGUACAUACAUACAUGCAGGCAAAAAGCUCACACAUAAAACGAAAUGAGUAAAUCUUUAAAAUACGAUUAAAUAAAAAAGACAGCCCAGGCAUGGGGACUGCAGAGACAGAAAAUCUCACUCUUACAGGGGACCAGGGUUGGGUUAUAGUACUCACAUGAAGACUCAGAACUGUUAUUCCAGUUCUGGAGAUCUGAUGACCUCUUCUGGCCUCUUUGGGUACUACACACGUGUGGUAUACAUACAUCCAGUCAAAACAUUUAUAUACAUAACAAUACAAUAAAAAGAAGUACAGAAGGCAGAGAAACUGUUAUAUACUAAAGUGAUUGUAUGCAGCUCUUGAUCAUUAAAUGGGUUCUCGAUUGUUUUUAUAAAAAAAAAAAGAAGUACAGAAAAAAAUGUUUAGUGCCAGCUUCUAAUUCCGUCACUGAGGAGGCAGAAGCAGGUGGAUCCCUGGAGCUUGAGUGUGGGACAGCCUUAUUCAUCUGUCUAGCUGCAGGCCCGUGAGAGACCCUAUGUAGAAGACAAGGUAGGCUGGCACCUGAGGAGUGAAUACUGGAUGCUGUGCUGUGGCUUCUACAUUCUUAUACACACGUGUGUAUGUGCACAUAGGAAUGCAGUACACCCAUAUGCCCACACUCACACGUGUGUGUGCGUGUGUGCGUGUGUGUGUGUGUGUGUGUGUGUGUGUGUGUGUGUGUAUGCUACAAUCAGAGCAACACUCAAGUUAGGGCACAAAGGCUCCCUAGAGGAUCUUCUAUAACCUUCCGGGAGGAGACUCCAAAAAGACUCUCUUUGGGAGGAUAAAAAUGCUACUACAUGGGUUCGGUCCCCAGCUCUGAAAAAAAGAAAAGAAAAGAAAAGAAAAAAAAGAAUGCUACUACAGUGCCAGUCCCUACCUACUGAGGCCCCGAGGCACCCUGAAGUGUUAAAAGCAGGGAGAUGAGUCUACUAAGUGACCUCAAAGGGACACACUAUGGUGCCAGCACAGUCAGCUGUAUGACGUCAGAGUGAUUCGCUACCUGCAGGCAUCACUAGUCAUGCCCUGGGAUGGAGAGGAGGACAGGAGGGAGUCCAGAAAUACAGUGGCUGACAGAUGAGUAGCUUGUCCCCAGCCCCAAGGAAGGGUCUCCCCGAGGGCUGAUGGGAAGGUCCACCGUUGGAGGCUGGGUCUGGAGAAGGUCUACUGGAUUCAUUGACCACAGGGCAGAUUCUGGCUUCCAGGGCCUGGGUUUUGGUGACUGCUGAAUAGCAUUCACUGCUGGCAGUAACUGCGACAGAUUAGGUACCCAAUAUAUCUAUCAUUUCCAGAAUUCCCAGGCUGGCCUUGAACUCGAGGCAAUCUCCCUGUUUCGGCCACCAGAAGCUCGGGUUGCAAGCCAUGGACCACCACAUCCGGCUUCAAUCCAUAUUAAGGAAAUGUAUGGCAAGAAAGCAACCAGCACCCUGGGGGAAUCAGUUCACGAUCUGGGACUCGGUUUACCCUACUGGCUGAUAGCCACGGUCAUGAGAAUGAGAACCUGCCACAGGGACAUCGCUAAGCCUCAGGGUACAGGGCCUGAAUUCUACAUUGGGAGGUGCCUGAGCAAGAAAAAGUCGUUCCCGCCUGGCCCUGACCCGCCCACGGUGAUGUAAGGAGUCAUCAGCUGGGAUCCCGACUCAGGCCCCUCCUUGGGGAUGAGGGAGGAGACUAACCCGGGAUCAGUGGCCCGGCUGGGUUACAUAACCAGUCCUCCUGUCCCUCGGGACGUCGCCGGACAUCCUGGCCCGGCUGGGGACAAUAGACAGGGAGGGGCUGUCUCUCCUGGCGCCUGAAAGUAGCCAGUCUCCCCUUUCUGAUUCACCCGCGUUUCCGGCUCUUUGCAACCUUCCCAGGAAGGGAUUUUGGUGUCCCUAAAUUCCAUUUGCGAUCCUAUAGCCUACAAUUCAGCUCCUCACACACCCUGUAAAUAUAUAUCCUCUACUAAGUAAGCCCCCAGUUCCUACCUUUAUAACCAUCUCUUGCAGUUCCAGAUCCCCCUAAAUUUCUAGUCCCCACAUUCCUUUUUGGUCCAGUCAUCCUUAGUCUUUCAGACCUUCCAAGCUGCGCGGACUUCGCAUUUGACCUUUCCUAAUGUCCCUCAAUAUCUCUGAAUCUUUCCCAAACUCCUCCUCUUUUCCCUCCAACUGACCCUUAGAAAUACUUCUAGCCUCCUAUUCCCAGAUUCCUCUGUCUUCUUGAAACAGUCCCAAUGUCCCUAUCUUGUCGUAGUCCCUUAAUCUACUCUAUCUCUCCUUUCCCGAGUCAAAUGACACCCCGGGUGCCAGCCCAGCACGAGAUGGCCCUGCACCCCUCCCGACGCGCUCCCACGCCGAGCCCGGAUUCCCAGGGCCGCACUCCGGUUGGUGGCCUAGAGACCCAAUUUGCGGCUGCGAAAACAUUGGUAUCUAAGGCAACAAGCCCCGCCCUGGGGCGGGUCCUGUGGGAACCCAGCAGCCAGGGCCAGGGGAGGGCGCUUGCAAGCAAGACUGGGACCAGAGCCCAGGACGCCGGGAACAGGGGUCACCGCCAUCCCCCAGUGCCCCCACCCCCACCCCCGAGUCCUGGUGUACACACAGAUCCAGACACCGGGACACAACAAGACCAAACAGACCUGGAGACCCUGGAGAAAAACAAAAACAAAAACAAAAACCAAAACCAAAAAGGCCUUCGAGCCCUGUUCCUGGGACUUCCCCCUCGCCUCAUCUCGGUUUCACAUCUGUAAACGUGGGGACCUUCAUACGCAGACCUUAGGGCAAUGUCGCUGUGGUGACGAUGAAGGGAUUCUGAAGACCUGGAGAUUGAAGCGCUGAUCACCGACACACCAAUCCAAACGGAGUCAUUCCGCAUCGAUUGAACAUUUACCACAGGCAAGUCCGUGCAGUCUGAGCUGUGAGUGCGACCAAGAUGACAGUACACUGGGCGCUUGUGAGUGGGGAAGGUCCUAGCUAAUGAAUAGGUAUAAACAUAGACAAAGCCGGGUGUUGGUGACACAGGCCUCUAAUCCCAGCACUCCAGAAGGUGAGGCAGGCAGAUGUCUGAGUCUUUUGAGGCCAGCCUGGUCUACAAAGCAAGUUCCUUGAUACCAGAACUAUACAGAGAAACCGUGUCUUGACAUAAACAAACACAAAUAAAAUAAAAUAAGACAUACAUGAAC
Molecule: non-coding RNA, 7258 nt
Organism: Rattus norvegicus (Norway rat)
Lineage: Eukaryota; Metazoa; Chordata; Mammalia; Rodentia; Muridae
Source: RefSeq, a predicted model, not a curated record